Xyrauchen texanus (razorback sucker) is the source of this 460-nucleotide long non-coding RNA. RefSeq lists it as uncharacterized. NCBI's taxonomy places the organism in Eukaryota, Metazoa, Chordata, Actinopteri, Cypriniformes, Catostomidae. The transcript is spliced from 3 exons. The record is from RefSeq and is a predicted model, not a curated record.
AGAAAAUGGGAAUUUCGGCAUGGCCUGUAGCGCCCCCUAGGGGCGAAUGUUGGCCAUUCUUUGCGCAGUACUUCAGAGUGAUGUCAUCUUGAAGCAUGUUAGGUUUGAAAAACCAUCAGUCAAAAUUACAUUUGAUUUAUUGACACGUAUAUAUUGUUAAAAUUUGGACAUUUACAUAAACACGCCCCUUUCAGCCAUUUUGUAUCGUAUUCAUUUUUCCUAAGUAACGUUUUCAAAGACUUCAAUUCUACACAUGUGUACCAAAUUUCAAGUCAAUUGGAGCUACGGUUCAGGAGAAGAAGAGUUUUGUAGGUUUUCGCAAAUUUUCAACGUACGGAAAAAUCCAUCAUGGCGGAAGUUAUGGGUUCUUGAGGCUUUUUUGUUCCCCAUGAGAAAUGAGGCAUGUACACCAAGUUUCAGGAGAUUUGGACAAAUGGCGUGGAAAUGGUAUCACUUUGAA